CGUCAAUGUGUAUCGAGUUUAUAUUGUAAAGUUCCCCCUGCUGGCAUGAGCCUGCCCUACCAGGCAGGCCCUGGAGGGGUUGACCCUCAUGGCAGAGGACUAUUGGACUGACACUGAUCUAAAGUUGUUAGCUACCUCUUAGAUGUCAAUCCCAGCGUCUUUCCUCAGCUCCUCCAGCGCUGGGUCUCUUAGGCAAGCAUCAGUCACUGUCUGUCACUCCUCUUCAGUCGCUCCCCUCUCUAUGCAAACUGUUUCCAAUUUUCCUUCAGCUUUCCUGGUCAUUUUCUCCUUCCUUUCUUGCUCCCCCCUUCCCUCUCCCAACUCCUCUUUCCUCUUGAAAAAUUCAAUUCAUCUGCUGUCCUGCGGCUGCUUAUUUUGUGCUAAAUUCUAUAGCAAGAGCUGGGAGUAUAAAAGCCACGGCCCUGGCUUUUGAGGGGCUGAAGUUCAAAGAAAAACCAUCAGCGAAAGAACACGAUACAAUACGAGGAGCGCUGUCAUGACUUGGAUACCCGUGGUCUAAAGGAAGCACAGGGGGACGAAUGGCUGAUCUCGGCAUUGAUGGGGUGUUCCCAGAUCUGGUCCCACAUUCCCAACAGCCUUCUAGAAACUGCUACCAAAUGGAACUCAUCUGCUCUUCUUGGAGAAACGCCAUCCUCCUGUGUUCCUUCGGCCAUCCCAAACCCAGCUAAAAGUUCUUUCAGGAAGUCCUGCCUGACACCCCCACCUGAAUACCAGACGUUACUUAUCCUUUGGUCUCCUCAAAGCACACACCGGGUCCAUUUUCGCUCUACCACUCCACACAGGAUUAAAAUUCUUUGUUCCAUUUCUUUUUUAAUGUUUUAUUGUUCCCCUCUCUGGAAACAACUGAACAAGAAUGGAACAUGGUAAAUGAAUGUCUCAAUUCUGUCAUUCUCAACUGGAUGAUGUUAUGGAAUUGAUCUAAGCCUCAGUUUCCUCAUCUGUAGAAUAGGAUAAUGAUGACUGCAUCAUCAGUAGAAAUUAGCAGAGCACACAGGCAUUUCCAGCAAGUGAAACACUGUAGUGUCAGAUACAGAGGAAGAGCUUAACAGGAACACUGAUUGGUGAAGAAAGAUGUUUCUGAGUAAUCUUUAAAGUGUAACCUGGGAAUACAAAAUGUAAGUGAUCAAAUGUAAGGAAGAAUUUAGUCUGGGGGUCACUUAUUUUUAGUUUAGUUAAGGUUCAUAUAUUUCCACAGCUUAAAAUUUCAGGAUUCUUUUUGCUUCAAUUCCUGGAGUUUCACUCUAUGGAGCAGACCCACGAGGUACACAACUUGGGUUUUAUUUUAACAGCAAUGUGCCUGCCCCAGGAGUGAUAGUUUUAAGUCAAUUUGUGGAAAAGCAACCACAUUCCAGUGGCAACUGUGUGGUAGCCUGUUCUAGCCAAGGAGGUAAAAGGUGAAAUUUGGGGCUACUG
Cricetulus griseus (Chinese hamster) is the source of this 1434-nucleotide non-coding RNA. The record is from RefSeq and is a predicted model, not a curated record. Lineage: Eukaryota; Metazoa; Chordata; Mammalia; Rodentia; Cricetidae.